CCUACGGGGGGCAGCAGUGGGGAAUAUUGGGCAAUGGGCGCAAGCCUGACCCAGCAACGCCGCGUGAAGGAAGAAGGCUUUCGGGUUGUAAACUUCUUUUAUCAGGGACGAAGCAAGUGACGGUACCUGAGGAAUAAGCCACGGCUAACUACGUGCCAGCAGCCGCGGUAAUACGUAGGUGGCAAGCGUUAUCCGGAUUUACUGGGUGUAAAGGGCGUGUAGGCGGGAGGGCAAGUCAGAUGUGAAAACUAUGGGCUCAACCCAUGGCCUGCAUUUGAAACUGUACUUCUGGAGUGCUGGAGAGGCAAUCGGAAUUCCGUGUGUAGCGGUGAAAUGCGUAGAUAUACGGAGGAACACCAGUGGCGAAGGCGGAUUGCUGGACAGUAACUGACGCUGAGGCGCGAAAGCGUGGGGAGCAAACAGGAUUAGAUACCCGUGUAGUC
RNAcentral lists this ribosomal RNA (443 nucleotides) under uncultured bacterium. Its description in RNAcentral is "partial 16S ribosomal RNA". It matches the Rfam family "Bacterial small subunit ribosomal RNA", at positions 338 to 795 of the family's 1533-position model. The record is from RNAcentral.